GCGAACGGGUGAGUAACACGUGGGAAACCUACCUCUUAGCAGGGGAUAACAUUUGGAAACAGAUGCUAAUACCGUAUAACAAUGACAACCGCAUGGUUGUUAUUUAAAAGAUGGUUCUGCUAUCACUAAGAGAUGGUCCCGCGGUGCAUUAGCUAGUUGGUAAGGUAAUGGCUUACCAAGGCGAUGAUGCAUAGCCGAGUUGAGAGACUGAUCGGCCACAAUGGGACUGAGACACGGCCCAUACUCCUACGGGAGGCAGCAGUAGGGAAUCUUCCACAAUGGGCGAAAGCCUGAUGGAGCAACGCCGCGUGUGUGAUGAAGGGUUUCGGCUCGUAAAACACUGUUGUAAGAGAAGAAUGACAUUGAGAGUAACUGUUCAAUGUGUGACGGUAUCUUACCAGAAAGGAACGGCUAAAUACGUGCCAGCAGCCGCGGUAAUACGUAUGUUCCAAGCGUUAUCCGGAUUUAUUGGGCGUAAAGCGAGCGCAGACGGUUAUUUAAGUCUGAAGU
This 510-nucleotide ribosomal RNA is filed under the name Weissella confusa. RNAcentral describes it as "bacterial SSU rRNA". It matches the Rfam family "Bacterial small subunit ribosomal RNA", at positions 98 to 595 of the family's 1533-position model. Lineage: Bacteria; Bacillati; Bacillota; Bacilli; Lactobacillales; Lactobacillaceae. The record is from RNAcentral.